UACGAAGGGGGCUAGCGUUGCUCGGAAUCACUGGGCGUAAAGGGUGCGUAGGUGGCUUGGUAAGUCAGUGGUGAAAGCCCGGAGCUCAACUCCGGAACUGCCAUUGAUACUGCUUAGCUUGAAUCAGGUCGAGGUGGAUGGAAUAUUACAUGUAGCGGUGAAAUGCUUAGAUAUGUAAUAGAACACCGAUUGCGAAGGCAGUUCACUAGGCCUGUAUUGACACUGAGGCACGAAAGCGUGGGGAUCAAACAGG
RNAcentral lists this ribosomal RNA (253 nucleotides) under uncultured bacterium. RNAcentral's name for it is "partial 16S ribosomal RNA". It matches the Rfam family "Bacterial small subunit ribosomal RNA", at positions 524 to 776 of the family's 1533-position model. The record is from RNAcentral.